RNAcentral lists this long non-coding RNA (626 nucleotides) under Gallus gallus (chicken). RNAcentral describes it as "lncRNA (ENSGALG00010008899.1)". Lineage: Eukaryota; Metazoa; Chordata; Aves; Galliformes; Phasianidae. The record is from RNAcentral.
UGCAUGUUCUGACAGUAUGAUGUGGGACUGAAAGCAUGUUUUAAUUUUCACACAGCUGAAGCCUUCAGGAGAAGCUUCAGAAGGUACAAAGGCACCUUUAGAUGAGAGGAUGUGCAUGCUGAGGUUUUCCUGUCUAUCAGGAAGCAGGAGGCAUUGCAGAAGAUGUAGCCGAGAGAUCCAUUGCAAGCAGGUAGCAGGUCUUUAAACAGAAAAGGUCAUAUUUUGAGAAGUGAAAUGAGAACCCAGCCCUCUUUGCAAAAAAUGUGGAUUACUGGCUUUGUGUUUAAACCAGUUAUUCUAAGAACGUGAACAGUCUUGAGAUCACUUGCUUAUCUUCCAACCCAAAACUGUACGAAAGGAACCUCCUCUCGGGGAAUUGCAGAAAACAGCAAUCAGUCUGCUACUAUGACCCAUCAAACAUCCAAAGAGCACCGUCCAAUUUGGUCCCAUUUCAUUGUCAUUACUGGUGACUCUGGGCUACACCCAAGAAAGGUGAGUCAGAACUCCACAAUAAGUAUUGUAGAUCUAACGCCGAAGAGGCUUUGCCCUUACAAGUACAUUAUAUAAUACUAAAUAUAUAAAGGCAGGUGCUGAGUUAAAAAGAAAUCAGUGACUUUAACAAGUCG